Molecule: ribosomal RNA, 485 nt
Filed under: uncultured bacterium
Lineage: Bacteria
Description: bacterial SSU rRNA
Rfam family: Bacterial small subunit ribosomal RNA
Source: RNAcentral
AUGAACGCUAGCUACAGGCUUAACACAUGCAAGUCGAGGGGCAGCACAGUGUAGCAAUACACGGGUGGCGACCGGCGCACGGGUGCGUAACGCGUAUCCAACCUUCCCGAUACUCUUGGAUAGCCUUCCGAAAGGGAGAUUAAUACAAGAUGGUAUUCAAAUUCCGCAUGUUAUUUGAAUUAAAGAUUUAUCGGUAUCGGAUGGGGAUGCGUGACAUUAGCUAGUAGGUGAGGUAAAGGCUCACCUAGGCGACGAUCUCUAGCCGGUCUGAGAGGAUGAUCAGCCACAUUGGGACUGAGACACGGUCCAGACUCCUACGGGAGGCAGCAGUGAGGAAUAUUGGUCAAUGGGCGCAAGCCUGAACCAGCCAAGUAGCGUGAAGGAUGAAGGUUCUAUGGAUUGUAAACUUCUUUUGUCUGAGGGUAAAAAAGCGGACGUGUCCGUUCUUGCAAGUAUCAGACGAAUAAGCAUCGGCUAACUCCGUG